GACGAACGCUGGCGGCGUGCUUAACACAUGCAAGUCGAACGGAAAGGCCCUGCUUUUGUGGGGUGCUCGAGUGGCGAACGGGUGAGUAACACGUGAGUAACCUGCCCUUGACUUUGGGAUAACUUCAGGAAACUGGGGCUAAUACCGGAUAGGAGCUCCUGCUGCAUGGUGGGGGUUGGAAAGUUUCGGCGGUUGGGGAUGGACUCGCGGCUUAUCAGCUUGUUGGUGGGGUAGUGGCUUACCAAGGCUUUGACGGGUAGCCGGCCUGAGAGGGUGACCGGGCACAUUGGGACUGAGAUACGGCCCAGACUCCUACGUGAGGCAGCAGUGGGGAAUAUUGCACAAUGGGCGGAAGCCUGAUGCAGCAACGCCGCGUGCGGGAUGCCGGCCUUCGGGUUGUAAACCGCUUUCGCCUGUGACGAAGCGUGAGUGACGGUAAUGGGUAAAGAAGCACCGGCUAACUACGUG
RNAcentral lists this ribosomal RNA (468 nucleotides) under uncultured bacterium. RNAcentral's name for it is "partial 16S ribosomal RNA". It matches the Rfam family "Bacterial small subunit ribosomal RNA", at positions 28 to 507 of the family's 1533-position model. The record is from RNAcentral.